RNAcentral lists this long non-coding RNA (909 nucleotides) under Drosophila guanche. Lineage: Eukaryota; Metazoa; Arthropoda; Insecta; Diptera; Drosophilidae. The record is from RNAcentral.
CUUAGGAGGACACUGGGGAGAAGUCGGAAAAGCCAUACCCGGGACCGCCUGCCACCAGCCGCUUCGACGGGGGGCUCUCAGCGAGAAGCCAGCCUUCCAAUGGUAACCUCUUUCCAUUUUAUCAUUGACAAGUGGCCUUUAAAUGAAGUGAAGAAGCCGGAGCUGUUGCCGUCUUCUGCAGCUGAUGACGAUGAUGGGCGAUGGGCGAUGGUGGAUGGCGGUGGUGGGAGUAGUUGGCAGCGACGACGAUGAUAACAGCCAGGCCAAGCGCUGUCCUUGACUAUUAGUUGUCAUGUUGUAAGGGCUCAAUUCCCGUUUCUCCUUGUUCUAGUUCCUGCCUUUUUUUCGUUUCCCCAUCCUCCAACACGGCUAAAGGAAUGCAGAGCGGGCCAUUUCUCUUGCAACUUCGCGUACAACAAUUUAGUGUGCAUUUUCCUAUUCUUCUUCCACUUCUUUGAAGUUUUUCCGCGACUUUCACUUGAGUGCUUGCAGCAGCUUCAGCAGCAUCAGCAGCAGUAGGGGGAGUGGCUCGAGGACACUGAGGCGGGGCCGCGUUUAAGUGAUAAUCCUGACUUAUGCUGCGAAUAAUGUUGCUAAACUGUUGACUGCACUUUCACUUUAACUUUUCCCUGUCUUUCGUCGCUUUAAUCCACGCAAAAUGUCUGGCUUUAGCUUGCGCCCCUGAAAACAUUGAAGAGCAGCGAAAACAUAUCAAUCUUUAAGACUGAAAUGAAUUUGGGGCUUGGAAAAGGCUUGGACCUACUUGUUCGUGGAUCAAACAUGAUCCUAGAAUAUAUUUUUUAUAUUAAUGAGCUUUAUUAUUAUUAUUUUUAUUUAUAUCAAACAUGUUCCUAGAAUAUAUUCACAAUAGUUUCCACAGGUCAGUGACAUAAUUCUCAUAGAAUCGAG